CUGGCUCAGGACGAACGCUGGCGGCGUGCUUAACACAUGCAAGUCGAACGCUGAAGCUUGGUGCUUGCACUGGGUGGAUGAGUGGCGAACGGGUGAGUAAUACGUGAGUAACCUGCCCUUGACUCUGGGAUAAGCCUGGGAAACUGGGUCUAAUACUGGAUACGACAUGUCACCGCAUGGUGGUGUGUGGAAAGGGUUUUACUGGUUUGGGAUGGGCUCACGGCCUAUCAGCUUGUUGGUGGGGUAAUGGCUCACCAAGGCGACGACGGGUAGCCGGCCUGAGAGGGUGACCGGCCACACUGGGACUGAGACACGGCCCAGACUCCUACGGGAGGCAGCAGUGGGGAAUAUUGCACAAUGGGCGGAAGCCUGAUGCAGCGACGCCGCGUGAGGGAUGACGGCCUUCGGGUUGUAAACCUCUUUCAGCACGGAAGAAGCGAAAGUGACGGUACGUGCAGAAGAAGCGCCGGCUAACUACGUGCCAGCAGCCGCGGUAAUACGUAGGGCGCAAGCGUUGUCCGGAAUUAUUGGGCGUAAAGAGCUCGUAGGCGGUUUGUCGCGUCUGCUGUGAAAGCCCGGGGCUUAACCCCGGGUGUGCAGUGGGUACGGGCAGACUUGAGUGCAGUAGGGGAGACUGGAAUUCCUGGUGUAGCGGUGAAAUGCGCAGAUAUCAGGAGGAACACCGAUGGCGAAGGCAGGUCUCUGGGCUGUUACUGACGCUGAGGAGCGAAAGCAUGGGGAGCGAACAGGAUUAGAUACCCUGGUAGUCCAUGCCGUAAACGUUGGGCACUAGGUGUGGGGAACAUUCCACGUUUUCCGCGCCGUAGCUAACGCAUUAAGUGCCCC
This 846-nucleotide ribosomal RNA is filed under the name Kocuria sp. RNAcentral's name for it is "bacterial SSU rRNA". It matches the Rfam family "Bacterial small subunit ribosomal RNA", at positions 19 to 870 of the family's 1533-position model. Lineage: Bacteria; Bacillati; Actinomycetota; Actinomycetes; Micrococcales; Micrococcaceae. The record is from RNAcentral.